Molecule: unclassified non-coding RNA, 223 nt
Filed under: uncultured fungus
Lineage: Eukaryota; Fungi
Description: sequence contains ITS1, 5.8S rRNA gene
Rfam family: 5.8S ribosomal RNA (bases 175-223)
Source: RNAcentral
UCUCCGUUGGUGAACCAGCGGAGGGAUCAUUACAGAGUUUUUAACUCCCAAACCCUUUGUGAACUUACCUUAUUGUUGCCUCGGCGAGCCCCUGGGAUUCGUCCUACGCCCGCCGGUGGCCCAUUAAACUCUGUUACUUUUAAGCAAUCUGAGUCUUUUAUAAAAUAAAGUCAAAACUUUCAACAACGAAUCUCUUGGUUCUGGCAUCGAUGAAGAACGCAGC